This 110-nucleotide ribosomal RNA is filed under the name Staphylococcus chromogenes. RNAcentral describes it as "partial 23S ribosomal RNA". It matches the Rfam family "Bacterial large subunit ribosomal RNA", at positions 1 to 110 of the family's 2925-position model. The record is from RNAcentral. Lineage: Bacteria; Bacillati; Bacillota; Bacilli; Caryophanales; Staphylococcaceae.
GAUUAAGUUAUUAAGGGCGCACGGUGGAUGCCUUGGCACUAGAAGCCGAUGAAGGACGUUACUAACGACGAUAUGCUUUGGGGAGCUGUAAGUAAGCUGUGAUCCAGAGA